GAUUAACGCUAGCGGCAGGCAUAAUACAUGCAAGUUGAACGGCAGCACAGGUAGCAAUACUGGGUGGCGAGUGGCGCACGGGUGCGUAACACGUAUGCAACCUACCCUAUACAGGCGAAUAACCUUUAGAAAUAAGGGCUAAUACGCCGUAGUAUUACAGAUGGGCAUCUAUUUGUAAUUAAAGAUUUAUCGGUAUAGGAUGGGCAUGCGUCCCAUUAGUUAGUUGGUAAGGUAACGGCUUACCAAGACGAUGAUGGGUAGGGGAUCUGAGAGGACUUACCCCCACACUGGUACUGAGACACGGACCAGACUCCUACGGGAGGCAGCAGUAAGGAAUAUUGGGCAAUGGCCGCGAGGCUGACCCAGCCAUGCCGCGUGCAGGAAGACGGCCUUAUGGGUUGUAAACUGCUUUUAUACGGGAAUAAUAGAGUGUACGCGUACAUUUAUGCAAGUAUCGUAUGAAUAAGCAUCGGCUAACUCCGUG
Molecule: ribosomal RNA, 484 nt
Filed under: uncultured bacterium
Lineage: Bacteria
Description: partial 16S ribosomal RNA
Rfam family: Bacterial small subunit ribosomal RNA
Source: RNAcentral